RNAcentral lists this unclassified non-coding RNA (218 nucleotides) under Glomeraceae sp. RNAcentral describes it as "partial contains 5.8S ribosomal RNA and internal transcribed spacer 2". The stretch from base 1 to 71 matches the Rfam family "5.8S ribosomal RNA", at positions 84 to 154 of the family's 154-position model. Lineage: Eukaryota; Fungi; Glomeromycota; Glomeromycetes; Glomerales; Glomeraceae. The record is from RNAcentral.
GUGAAUCAUCGAAUCUUUGAACGCAAAUUGCACUCCCUGGUAUUCCUGGGAGUAUGCCUGCUUGAGGGUCGUUAGAAGAAAAAUCUAAACAUCUCUCUUUUUUUGUGGGUUAUCGCGUCGGAAUUGAGCCCUCUUUCAUAUGUUAAUUCAUGUCAAAUUUGCUUAAAAUUCAUCCAUAUGGUACGAGUAAAGCGUAUUUAAGAUCAAUUUUGAUUCAG